AGGGGGGGGUAGGAGAGCCGCUCGGCUGUCGGGGGUCCGUCGCGGUGCCGCGAAAGGGAUUUGGGAGCAGCCGCUCCGACGCCGAUCGUUGGACGUAACCGCGGCCACAUUCAGGUGCACGGCGUAGGCACGGGGAAAGCCUUUCCGUAAUCCUUUCCGUGGGCAACACGGUGAAAAGCCGCAGAUUUGGGGCGGUCGCUCUUUGCCGUGCGUUCCCGGGGCAAAGCUAUUGGGAUGUUUGUUUUGUUUCCCUUCGUUCCUCUUUGAGUGUUUGCAUUUUGGGGGUUUUGUUCGUUUGUUUCCGGGCUGCGGAACGAGACCCGGUGAUGGCAGCCGGGGGGGGGGCGGGGGGGGAAAGAGCCGCCGUGGAUGAGACGUGAAAUGCGCCGUAGGGUUUCGCCUAUCCCCAGCGCGCGGUGUGUGCCCAUUUCAAUAGCGGAUGGGCUGCUUCGUCGGGGAAGGGCUGAGUGCUAAACACACCCAAAGAUGAGUUACCCCACAUAGCGUUACCGGCGAUUAAAUUGUUCACAACUCUUUCGAAGCACGAGGGAGUGACAGAUCGAUAAUCGAUUAAAGAAAAAAAAGAAACAAAACCCCACCGCGGUGAAAGGGUUGUGCCUUACACCCCGAUAAAAUCCCACUGCGGGCCGGCUGGGGCUGCGGGGAGCUCCCGGUGCCGCGGGGUUCGCUGUCUGCGCUCUCCGUCCGGGACGCAUUCGCCGCACCGCGGGCUGAAGCCCGUCUGAGCUGCCCGGCCCCGCCGCAACCGAAUCCGAUGGAAAUCACAUGUGCGAGAGGGGUCGGAGCGUGUUAAGCUCGAGGAUCCCGCAGGAGCUGAACCGCCCUCGCGCUGGGGCUGGGAUCGAUAGGGGGAGGUAGGAAGGAAAUGGCUCCGGGCUGCCCCAGGGCGCUCCGCGAGCCGCCCGCCCGCCGAGCUCCGACGGUGCCUUCCGCGGCCCCGCUCCUCCGCUGCUACAGCCCGGCGGGGCCGGCGGAGCAGGGAGCAGGGGGAGGAGGAGUGAUUCUGCUCUGAGAAAGAAAGAACAAGGUCUUUAAUGAAUAUUCACUUCUCAGGGACAUGAUAUGAUUCAGUCAACGUGGCUAGAUGACAGAACCCAUCUAGAUCCUCAGGGAUAAUUACGACAGAAGGACUAGCUAAGAACCAGUCACAACAGGCAAUUCUACGCUGAAGAAGAACUGCUACCUUCUAAUACCUCUUCCUACCAAACCUUGGAAACCAGGCGCCAGGCGUUCAACACAGAGGUAACCCUCUGCUCCCAUCCGUACUAGCUUCAAAACUGAGGAGUUAUCACAGUGGGCAGAGCAGGUUUGCUUUUCCCAUCCCUGUGAAAAUCUCCUUAGAAGCACAGCAUAUCCCAAGCCUUCUUUCUGAAGGGCACAGAAAAGACAGGUGAAUGAAUAGCCUUUAUUGGAUGUCUUGGACAAUUCCUGUAGAAGGCGUGCAGUGAGUACCUGAGGUUCCUUCAUCAUGAAAUUUAUGUUGCAGCAGAUUAGACAGAAGAUUGGACAUCCUCUGAGGUGUUAAUGAUCUCCUCUAGCAGAUUUCCCAUGGAAGGAACUCCCAAGUGUUUGAGUGUUUUUGUCCAAAUGUGGUCCAUAUCAGUUCUGCCUCCUCAAAGUCUUCUUAGCCCAAACUGAGCUUGUAGUCAACUCAGACCAUACCAACCAGCUGCUUCCCUCCCCCCGACCCCACCCCAGUUUUGCAUAGGUUUUGCAUAGGGAAAAACAGGAUGAAAUCCAUGUAAUAAGAGAAAUGUCUUCUACAAAUAUACAUGAGGAACAAAAGGAACUUCUGUAAGUCUAUUACUUGAUGUUGAUGGUUUAAAGUGCUAGUAAUGAGACGUUAUGAGACAGAUGCAUUCAAUAAGUAUUUCUGUUCUGGUGGAUCAAAGCUGGAAGGAAGUAUGAAUACAUUAUGAAGCUGAUGAAAUGUUUUCUGGUCUUACAGUAAAAUGGGUGAAUGCAAGUCAACUCAGAUCUGUGUCAGCAAGGCUCUAUAAAAUGGCACCGAGUUUUCUUAAGGCAGCAACUCAGGAAGUUGUACUUUCUCUAGGCAGGUAAUGAAUGCUGAGCUUGUACCCAGAGGUCAGAGGUAUGACCCAAUUAAUAGUAAGCUGGUUGGCCUAGCUUACUACUGGUCUUGGGAUCAGCAUGUAGGAAAUGGCUGAUACUGAAGACAAAAGUAAAAUCUGUUCCAAUUAAUUUAACUUUAGUGGAAUUUGAGCUUGUCAAGUCAUCCUAGUACCUCUAGUUGAAAAAACACUUCAAGAUCAGAACUGUGAUGAGUUAGUCAUCUGACUGUAAAUUUUUUUAAUAUACCAUUUUUAGAAGACGCUACUUGAUUUCAACAAAGAUAUCUUAUGGGCAAUUAUCAGUGGGGAAGUCUUUCCAGAAGGGAAUCACUCAUUUCUCCUUUCCACCCAAUACAAUCUGUUUUUAAAUCACAAAUAACACAUGAACAACUGCAAAUGCACUUUUAAGAUAGUACGAAAUGUGAAAAAAUAAAGAUGACAGUGCUUUUGUUUGAAAGUGAUCAGACUCACUUCAUAACCUCGGUUCAACCAAAUGCAACCAAAACAGUUCGUCCUUAGAAACAAGAGAGCAUGAACUGUUUUUACAGGAUUGGGUACUGUAUCACAGAAAGCUUGAAAAGGUCUAUGGGGAUUGUCACAUGUAAUCAACUGUGCAUGAACUCCUACUAUAAUCUCAUUAUUAAAACAGUUACAGUGGUCACUGGAAGUACAGAGAUGGGGGCUGGGAUUGGGGAUGCAGUAUUCUGUCUGUGUAAGGAAGAAAUAGGGCCACUUUUGCAGUGGCUGCUGAAGUGGAUAGAGGAGCCAAGGGAGAAAUAGUUAAAGGAUCAGGACCUUCACAUAGGACACAUUUAUUCCAUGAUUAUUUCAUGAUGGAUUACCCCAGAAAAUAGCUUCCAAAAGUUUUUCCAUGAAACAGCAGAUCAUGCAGCUCCUCUGCUGGACCCUCCCUUAAGUCAUGUUUUCUGGAUUAUGUUCCAGAGGAAAUCAGUAGGGGUUGCAGCUUUCUGAGGUGAGUUUAGUGUUGGAUACCUGCCUAUGUGCUGUGACACGCUGCCUUGGCUAAUAAAUCGUGACCUCUGUGGUUAUAUCGGUCAAAUGCUUUCUCAGCCAGAGCAAUUCCCAGCAAAUCAGUGGGCUCCUUUCACAGUGCCCAUCUGACAAGCACGGGGUAGCGCACAGAUGGUUUAGAUAUAAAAAAGAAUGUUGCAUCAGUACUGUAUGUGUGAAAUGUUUCAAUUAUUCCUAAAAUAUUUUUAACGUGUUCCAGAUUUAUCAGGCAAAAUGUUUAGGAAGUAAUUGGAGUUUAUUCUGUUUUUAAUUUUGGUAUAGUAUAUUAUAAUAAACACAUGUUCAAAAUACAUUUUAGGUAUCACCAAAUAUUUAUAAAAUGUGUAUAGGUGGAAAUCCCAAGGUCACUACAGUAGCUUUAUUUUGCCAGUCUGUUUACAAGGAGAUGAGUCAUUAAAACCUAUGGCUGUUUCUAUCUGUACCGAGAAUCCUUCUCCUGCAGGCAGUGGAUAACCUACUGGUUUUACAUAUUCAUGUAAGAUUAAGCUUUCUCUGAUUGCAGAGGUUGAAUUUAACCCUCCCUCAUAUUAUUUGUAAUAAUAAAAACUUCUAGUGGUAUUUCCAAGUGGACAUAUAUGUCUCAUAUUUAACAUCUGAUCAUAUUACCGUCAUUUUCCACUAUAACUAAAAGAUGAAUUAAAUAAAUGAGUAUCCCAAGCAAUUCUGUUUAGGAAAUCAGAUGAAAGAUGGUGUCAUACUUCUUGAAACACACAGUGGGCUUUUGCAAUUAGAACUAAUUGGUAUGUUGUGUGCAUCACUACCUGCCUUAAGAAAUACUGACGAAGCUUCGGGGUGGGAUGGGUGUUCUAUGGGGCUGGGGGUGAGACUGGGGGGGGGGGGGAUCUGUGGGACUGGGAGGUGGAAUUGUUCUACUAGGGAACAUUGUUCCAUUUGUUUUAAAACGAAGAUUGACUGUUUGCUUUUGAUCUCCUUCUUGUCCUUGGAGAUUUCAGGUGUGGAAAAAGGCACACAUUUUCCUAGCCUGAAGAGUAAAAUAUUGCCCCCCACAAUUCUCAUUACCUUAAGUGAACUCAGUUUAUAUUUUUUGUUGUUGUUUUAUUUUUCUUUAUCCAAAGUUUAUUCAAAGUAUUCAUUAAGAAAAUCUCGAUGUAGAAACACCUUGCAUUAACCAAAGCAAAGUUGGUUUCAGUGCCCAAGACCAAGAUGCCUAAUCUCCUCCUUGCCCCAGCUGUUAGGGACAAGCAUGUUUUCCGUUUCAGCUCACAGAACAGUUGCAGUGUUGGGGGGAUGAGAAAACAGACAUGGGUUGAUCUGAGAGCAAAGAUUUGUGGUGGUAGAGCAAGACUGGCAAAGGAGGAGCCAGUGCCAUAUACAGAAGUAGCUGCAAACCCAAGAUUCCCUCAAAAUGUGAUGACAUACAUGUGUAGACAUGUACUGUUUCAGCAGGUAUUGUGGUGCCCCAAAGAAACAUUUUGAAAGAUGAAAGCAUUGGGGAUUUUUGUUUUCACUGUUUUUCCUCACUUUUUUUAAGUAAAAAUGUUAAAUUCAGCUCUGUUAAAAGAUUAAGCUCAAUCCCAAACAAAAUCUAGACAUCUAGGCUGUACUGACUCCUGCUGCUGUCUUAGGAAAUAUUGACUUUUCUGAAAGAAAAACUAUUUCCUCAAUUCUAAUUUUCAUUAAAAACAUACUGUAGUACAGAUGCUGUUUUGCAAUAUUCUUUUAAUCUCUGUGGAUUUAUUUUAUGUGUUUACUCCAACAGAAAAUUCUUAUUAGCAACGAUUCUUCAACUCUUUCUCUUACCUCAGUGGUGUGGCUGACCCCUCUGUAUGCCUCAUCUGAAGGCUCACCAUCCACUGACAGUAAUCUGAGGAGGUCCGGGGACAGCAAAUGAUGGCUGAACUUGAUGAUCACAGGGGUCUUUUCCAACACCAAUGAUUCUAUAAUUUGAAUGACUUUUGACAUUGUACGGCUGUUACACCUGUGAUCACAAAUACCUUAUGUCCACGAUAACAUUGGAAAUCUUGUUCAUUUUGCACCACUUCCAGAAAACAGCAAGAAGCUGUAUAAAAGUAUUUCAAAAGGAAGGAGCUGGUGAAGCAAGACAGCAAUUUGGUUUAUUUAUCAGUGUUAGUAAUUCCAUUCCAGCCCAUGAAGCCAGCAAGUAUGGUUCAUAUUGAGAAUAUCUAUGUGAAAAGUAAUGGCAAAUUAUGCAAAUAAAUUGGCUACAAUAAGACUUUUUCACUCUUUUUUUUUUUCAGUAGUUUAUCAUGCUGCAGUCUAAUCAAGAUAUGGUAAAGGGUGGUACAGACAUUAUUCAGGAACUUAAUGCCACAUAAACCUAAGCAAUUCAUUUUUCUAACAUUUUUAAUUGUCUGCAGAUAUACAGAUAGAGAC
RNAcentral lists this long non-coding RNA (5480 nucleotides) under Gallus gallus (chicken). The record is from RNAcentral. Lineage: Eukaryota; Metazoa; Chordata; Aves; Galliformes; Phasianidae.